Molecule: ribosomal RNA, 331 nt
Filed under: uncultured bacterium
Lineage: Bacteria
Description: bacterial SSU rRNA
Rfam family: Bacterial small subunit ribosomal RNA
Source: RNAcentral
AUUUGACGUUACCUACAGAAGAAGCACCGGCUAACUCCGUGCCAGCAGCCGCGGUAAUACGGAGGGUGCGAGCGUUAAUCGGAAUUACUGGGCGUAAAGCGCAUGCAGGCGGCUUGUUAAGUCAGAUGUCGAAAGACCCGGGGCGUUAACCUCGGAAUUGCAUUUGAAACUGGCAGGCUAGAGUCUUGUAGAGGGGGGUAGGAAUUUCAGGUGUAGCGGUGAAAUGCGUAGAGAUCUGAAGGAAUACCAGUGGCGAAGGCGGCCCCCUGGACAAAGACUGACGCUCAGAUGCGAAAGCGUGGGGAGCAAACAGGAUUAGAUACCCUGGUAG